GACGAACGCUGGCGGCGUGCUUAACACAUGCAAGUCGAACGGAAAGGCCCUGCUUUUGUGGGGUGCUCGAGUGGCGAACGGGUGAGUAACACGUGAGUAACCUGCCCUUGACUUUGGGAUAACUUCAGGAAACUGGGGCUAAUACCGGAUAGGAGCUCCUGCUGCAUGGUGGGGGUUGGAAAGUUUCGGCGGUUGGGGAUGGACUCGCGGCUUAUCAGCUUGUUGGUGGGGUAGUGGCUUACCAAGGCUUUGACGGGUAGCCGGCCUGAGAGGGUGACCGGACCCAUUGGGACUGAGCUACGGCCCAGACUCCUACGGGAGGCAGCAGUGGGGAAUAUUGCACAAUGGGCGGAAGCCUGAUGCAGCAACGCCGCGUGCGGGAUGACGGCCUUCGGGUUGUAAACCGCUUUCGCCUGUGACGAAGCGUGAGUGACGGUAAUGGGUAAAGAAGCACCGGCUAACUACGUG
Molecule: ribosomal RNA, 468 nt
Filed under: uncultured bacterium
Lineage: Bacteria
Description: partial 16S ribosomal RNA
Rfam family: Bacterial small subunit ribosomal RNA
Source: RNAcentral